This 305-nucleotide ribosomal RNA is filed under the name uncultured bacterium. RNAcentral describes it as "bacterial SSU rRNA". It matches the Rfam family "Bacterial small subunit ribosomal RNA", at positions 337 to 639 of the family's 1533-position model. The record is from RNAcentral.
GCCUACGGGGCGCAGCAGUGAGGAAUAUUGGUCAAUGGGCGCGAGCCUGAACCAGCCAAGUCGCGUGAGGGAAGACGGUCCUAUGGAUUGUAAACCUCUUUUGUCGGGGAGCAAAAGACGCCACGUGUGGCGUUCCGAGAGUACCCGAAGAAAAAGCAUCGGCUAACUCCGUGCCAGCAGCCGCGGUAAUACGGAGGAUGCGAGCGUUAUCCGGAUUUAUUGGGUUUAAAGGGAGCGUAGGCCGGUCUUUAAGCGUGCCGUGAAAUUUUGUGGCUCAACCAUGAGAGAGCGGCGCGAACUGGAGA